This 869-nucleotide small RNA is filed under the name Pongo abelii (Sumatran orangutan). RNAcentral's name for it is "retained intron". Lineage: Eukaryota; Metazoa; Chordata; Mammalia; Primates; Hominidae. The record is from RNAcentral.
ACCCUUUCUACGACCGCUACCGCGACAAGAUCCAGCAGCUGCGCAGGUCAGACCCAGCUGCUUUUGAGUCCCGCCUGGAGAAACGCAGUGAAUUUCGGAAGCAGCCAGUGGGGCAUUCCAGGCAAGGUGAUUUUAUCAAAUGUGUGGAACAGAAGGUAAGACCUGCCCCCAUUUGUGGUGUUUGCUUACCAGCACUCCUUCAGCCUCCUUACCCUCACCCUUAUCCUUAAAGUUGGUUUAUUGAUGGGUCAGCUGAGUGAACUGAACAUAGUCUCUCCCAACUCCAUUUCCAUCUAUAAAUGUUUAUCCUGCUCUUUCAAGGCAAAGUGCUGUGGUCAUGGUGGAGAUAUAGAGGUAUGAGAGGGGUACUUCCUGCUCCCAAGAGGAGCAGUCUAGUGGUCAAGGCAAGGCACACAUGGUAGUGGGCUAGAGGUAUCAGAGAAAAUUUCCCACGGGAGAUGGAACCUGACCUAGGCUAGGAACAUUGUGGGGGAUUUAAAUUAAGUAGAGAGGAGGGAAUGGGACUUUGAUGUAGAGCAGGGGUCAUCAAAUUUUUUCUGUAAAGAACUAGAUGUUAAAUAUUUUAGGCAUUGUGGGCCUUAUGGUCUUCUUUGUGACUACUCAGCUCUGCCAUUAUAGUGCAAAAGCAGGCCUAGACCGUACGUAAAUGAAUAGGUAUGGUUCUGUUCCAAUAAAACUUAAUUUACAAAAAUAUUUGGCAGACUAGAUUUAGUUUCCUGACAACCAACCACCACUGCCAGCCCACCUCCAUCCAUUCCCAUGUUGAUGAAUUAGCUUAAACAGAGGAAGAGCUUUGAAAGUAAAAGGGGUUUCAGGAGACAGCAAGGUACUGUGUCCAAUUAAAAUGG